AUUGAACGCUGGCGGCAGGCUUAACACAUGCAAGUCGAACGGAACCUUCGGGUUUAGUGGCGAACGGGUGAGUAAUACCCAGGGAUCUGCCUAUUAGUGGGGGAUAACGGCUCGAAAGGGUCGCUAAUACCGCAUACGUCCUACGGGAGAAAGAGGGGGAUCUUCGGACCUCUUGCUAAUAGAUGAGCCUAGGCCGGAUUAGCUAGUUGGUAGGGUAAAGGCCUACCAAGGCGACGAUCCGUAGCUGGUCUGAGAGGAUGAUCAGCCACACUGGAACUGAGACACGGGCCAGACUCCUACGGGAGGCAGCAGUGAGGAAUAUUGCGCAAUGGGGGCGAACCCUGACGCAGCGACGCCGCGUGAGUGAGGAA
Molecule: ribosomal RNA, 371 nt
Filed under: uncultured bacterium
Lineage: Bacteria
Description: bacterial SSU rRNA
Rfam family: Bacterial small subunit ribosomal RNA
Source: RNAcentral